CGGGUGAGUAACACGUGGGUGACCUUCCCCAAAGACGGGGAUAACUCUUGGAAACAGGGGCUAAUACCCGAUGUGCUCAGCAGUUCACUCUGUUGAGUAAAGCUAUGGCGCUUUGGGAUGGGCCCGCGGCCCAUCAGCUAGUUGGUAGGGUAAAGGCCUACCAAGGCUAAGACGGGUAGGGGGCGUGAGAGCGCGAUCCCCCACACUGGCACUGAGACACGGGCCAGACUCCUACGGGAGGCAGCAGUGAGGAAUAUUGCGCAAUGGACGAAAGUCUGACCCAGCGACGCCGCGUGGGCGAUGAAGGCCUUCGGGUCGUAAAGCCCUUUUCUGGGGGAAGAGAAAGGACGGUACCCCAGGAAUAAGCCCCGGCUAACUACGUGCCAGCAGCCGCGGUAAAACGUAGGGGGCAAGCGUUAUCCGGAUUUACUGGGCGUAAAGAGCGUUGAGGCGGUUUUGUAAGUUGGGCGUGAAAGCCCUGGGCUUAACUCAGGGAAGCCGUUCAAUACUGCGAAACUUGAGGGCAGCAGAGGGAGGUGGAAUUCCCGGAGUAGCGGUGAAAUGCGUAGAUAUCGGGAGGAACACCAGUGGCGAAGGCGGCCUCCUGGGCUGCUCCUGACGCUGAAGGCGAAAGCUAGGGGAGCGAACGGGAUUAGAAACCCCGGUAGUCCUAGCCGUAAACGAUGGAUGCUAGGUGUGGGGGGUGUAGAUUCCCUCCGUGCCGCAGUUAACGCGUUAAGCAUCCCGCCUGGGGAGUACGGCCGCAAGGCUAAAACUCAAACGAAUUGACGGGGGCCCGCACAAGCAGCGGAGCGUGUGGUUUAAUUCGACGCUACACGAAGAACCUUACCUGGGCUUGACAUACAGGUAGUAGUGAAGUGAAAGCGGAUCGACCCUUCGGGGAGCCUGUACAGGUGCUGCAUGGCUGUCGUCAGCUCGUGCC
RNAcentral lists this ribosomal RNA (943 nucleotides) under uncultured organism. Its description in RNAcentral is "bacterial SSU rRNA". It matches the Rfam family "Bacterial small subunit ribosomal RNA", at positions 103 to 1066 of the family's 1533-position model. The record is from RNAcentral.